UGGGGGAAUAUUGCACAAUGGAGGAAACUCUGAUGCAGCGACGCCGCGUGAGUGAAGAAGUAAUUCGUUAUGUAAAGCUCUAUCAGCAGGGAAGAUAGUGACGGUACCUGACUAAGAAGCUCCGGCUAAAUACGUGCCAGCAGCCGCGGUAAUACGUAGGGGGCAAGCGUUAUCCGGAUUUACUGGGUGUAAAGGGAGCGUAGACGGCAUGGCAAGUCUGAAGUGAAAUGCGGGGGCUCAACCCCUGAACUGCUUUGGAAACUGUCAGGCUGGAGUGCAGGAGAGGUAAGUGGAAUUCCUAGUGUAGCGGUGAAAUGCGUAGAUAUUAGGAGGAACACCAGUGGCGAAGGCGGCUUACUGGACUGUAACUGACGUUGAGGCUCGAAAGCGUGGGGAGCAAACAGGAUUAGAUACCCUGGUAGU
Molecule: ribosomal RNA, 423 nt
Filed under: uncultured Lachnospiraceae bacterium
Lineage: Bacteria; Bacillati; Bacillota; Clostridia; Lachnospirales; Lachnospiraceae
Description: bacterial SSU rRNA
Rfam family: Bacterial small subunit ribosomal RNA
Source: RNAcentral